This 642-nucleotide ribosomal RNA is filed under the name uncultured fungus. Its description in RNAcentral is "eukaryotic LSU rRNA". The stretch from base 215 to 368 matches the Rfam family "5.8S ribosomal RNA". The record is from RNAcentral. Lineage: Eukaryota; Fungi.
AAGUCGUAACAAGGUUUCCGUAGGUGAACCUGCGGAAGGAUCAUUAGUGAAUUAAACAUGCUUGGUGUCUUCGCUUCGGCAAGGCCCUUGCUUAAAUCACAUCCUAACACCUGUGAACUGUAAGACGUAUGAUGAGGUCUUUGGCCAAGUCAUCGUCUGCCCUUUUUUAACAAACAAUUAAUUUAACAAACGUAGUCUUAUUAUAACCUAAUAAAACUUUCAACAACGGAUCUCUUGGCUCUCGCAUCGAUGAAGAACGCAGCGAAAUGCGAUAAGUAAUGUGAAUUGCAGAAUUCAGUGAAUCAUCGAAUCUUUGAACGCACCUUGCGCUCUUUGGUAUUCCGAAGAGCAUGCCUGUUUGAGUGUCAUGAAAAUAUCAACCUUGACUUGGGUUUUGGGCUCUAGUCUUGGCUUGGAAUUGGGUGCUUGCCGCUUUUACGAGCGGCUCACCUUAAAUGUAUUAGCUGGAUCUGUCUUUGAGACUUGGUUUGACUUGGCGUAAUAAGUAUUUCGCUAAGGACAUUCUUCGAGAGUGGCCUCGUUUCUAGGACGCUUGUCCGCUUCCCAAUACAAGUUCCACCUCGUGGACAUGACUUUUUUAUUAUCUGGCCUCAAAUCAGGUAGGACUACCCGCUGAACUUA